GUUCCUAACAAUGUGAAAAGUAAAUUUUAUCGAUCGCAAAAUAAUCAAUAACAUUGCCGGUUCAUUAAAAGCAGCAUCAAAUAUUCAGCUUCUGCCCGGAAAGACCACGACAUUUUUGAUCUUACGAAUGAACAUCGGAAUCAGGUUAUCGCGGCAAAAUGUUAUAUUGGAAGGAGUAAUUAUCAAGGAGCUUCGUGGGAGAGAGUCUCAUACAAGGUAAGAAAUACAGUAUUAUAAACGUAAUUGUAAAUUAUUAGAAUCAAUUCCAUCCAUUUAUUUUACAUUCCAUGUAUACGUGAUCUAAAUUAAUAGUUGUUAAUAAAGAAUGGACGCACCCCUUAAAAAUGUGACAUAGCGUUUCUAGAAAUACUAUGUUAUUUUGGAAUAUUUUAGAGAAUAAGCACAGAGAGAUAUAUAAAUUUUUUUUUCCGUUUAUAUUUAAUUCUCUUUUUUCAUUAAGAAAGAUUAGAAAUGCAUAUUUCUCGCGAAGAUAUAGGAGAGAUAUUUUGCGGAAAUUGAAAGGGUGCGGGAAACAUUCAGAUUCGUCGUUCCAAGGUAAAAAAAAAGAAAAAAAUUGCCAUUCGCGAAACGGCGCUCAAUCACGCCGUUUAUCCGUCAAGCUACGUUCUCUCGCGCAAUUCAACACAAAAUAUAUCCCACGGUCAUAGUCGUUCCAGCAUCUUCCCGCGGGACGCGCGAGCGCGAAGAUGCGUCUCCCGGAGAGACUACGAGUGAGAAUACGACCGCUCUAAAACCCCGCCGGAUUUUCUCGUAAAAACCGCCGUCCCCUUAAAGGUGGGUUCCGGUGGCAUUAGCGAAAUGUCGACGAGAGCAACGACGACGAACGCGACGACCGUUCUCCCGUUUUAAUGUCAAUCCUCAAAUGUCACGUAACCAUC
Formica exsecta is the source of this 899-nucleotide long non-coding RNA. RefSeq lists it as uncharacterized. NCBI's taxonomy places the organism in Eukaryota, Metazoa, Arthropoda, Insecta, Hymenoptera, Formicidae. The transcript is spliced from 3 exons. The record is from RefSeq and is a predicted model, not a curated record.